UAAGGUAGCGAAAUUCCUUGUCGGGUAAGUUCCGACCUGCACGAAUGGCGUAACGACUUCCGCACUGUCUCAACCAGAGACUCAGCGAAAUUGAAUUCUCGGUGAAGAUGCCGAGUACCCGUGGCAAGACGGAAAGACCCCGUGAACCUUCACUACAGCUUGACACUGACUCUUGGGCAACUUUGUGUAGCAUAGGUGGGAGACUGUGAUAUCUGGGCGCUAGCUUAGGUGGAGUCGCCGUUGAAAUACCACCCUGAAUUGUCUGAGUGUCUAACCGUGGCCCGUUAUCCGGGUCCGGGAAACUGUCUGGUGGGUAGUUUGACUGGGGCGGUCGCCUCCCAAAAAGUAACGGAGGCGCGCGAUGGUUCCCUCAGCCUGAUUGGAAACCAGGCGUAGAGUGCAAAAGCAUAAGGGAGCUUGACUGCGAGACCGACGGGUCGAGCAGGUACGAAAGUAGGCUUUAGUGAUCCGGUGGUUCUGCGUGGAAGGGCCAUCGCUCAACGGAUAAAAGGUACUCCGGGGAUAACAGGCUUAUCUCCCCCAAGAGUUCACAUCGACGGGGAGGUUUG
Molecule: ribosomal RNA, 569 nt
Filed under: Alexandrium tamarense
Lineage: Eukaryota; Dinophyceae; Gonyaulacales; Pyrocystaceae
Description: partial Bacterial large subunit ribosomal RNA
Rfam family: Bacterial large subunit ribosomal RNA
Source: RNAcentral